Molecule: long non-coding RNA, 5541 nt
Organism: Lineus longissimus
Lineage: Eukaryota; Metazoa; Nemertea; Pilidiophora; Heteronemertea; Lineidae
Exons: 2
Source: RefSeq, a predicted model, not a curated record
CCAUAUUUCCAUCACCAUGGCCUUGCCGCUGGCUGUUUGGCUGGGCUCGUCAUAUCAUGAAAAUGCACAAGAGUUCGGAAGAUGCUUUGUGAAACGCAAUAAGUGGCAGACUGGCACGUCAUGGGCAGGUUGGAAGUUCUCUUUAUCGGGGUCAUCUUAUCUCGUUUGCGGCGAUCGAGCUACGGCAACUUUUUUGUCGGGUGACGCGACUUUCCUGUGUUUCAACCCAAGAUAUAUACUAGCUGGUGCCUUCAAUCAAAAUCCUCAUAUUGUCGCUUUAUCAAGAUUGCAGCUGGCAGUCUAGUCAAAGUGGUACAAUUUUAAAUGUAUCAAAGACACUGACGUUUUAAAAAAAUUAUGACUUUCGGCCAUGGCCAGCGUGAGAUCUUCUAAACCGUUACCAUUUUUCGUUAUAUUGAGACUUAUACUUUUCUCCUGCUGGAAUAUGCACUGCUCUGGACCUGCCAAGAAAAGUAAUCGAGGUGGGUCCAGGCAGGUCCAUAACCUGCCGUCAAAACGAGUGUAAGAUGCUGCGCUGACUAAUAUGUAUGUAUACCUCUUUUUUAGUUAAACGAAUCGGCCACUGAAUGCAAGUUGGAUGCUUCGCACCCGCACCUUCACCAUUUUAAUUAUUUUUUAAAUCAAUGGUAUUACGUGACCAAACUGUCAAAAAGAUAUCUCCAUGUUGUUUAAUUAACAACAGAAAGGAAAGUUUGGUUUACGUGGGUAUUCUCCGGCAGGCUGUCGCUGAAAAAAAAGAUGGAAACCUAAAACACGCCUGAUCUCGUCAUCAAAAUGGCAAAGGUAUUGAUAAGUUCGUUUUAUCAUCAUUUGAUCAGCAACCUUGCUCUUAUAAGCCCUGAUCUCGGAUCUACUCCCUCAGUAUCACCUUUACACUGCAGCAUCCUCUGCUUUACUCGGACAAGUUGUACAACUUUUAACUUCGUGCCUAUCAAAGUGGGCUCUUCUUGUCAGCAGAACCAUAAGAGAGGAACGUGUUUAAGCCAGGAACAGGCUACUCCUUCAAAUGGAUCACGCAUGUUUCAAGAAAAGGCUUCAGUUAUCCUCGAGGAUAUCUGCUUGCAGUCUCGAGAGAGAGUAUUCUCGUUUACGGGUAUAACGAAACCAGCUUCGCAUACACUUUGUUACACAACGUGUGGCUAUCACGCACGAAGAGAGACUUUGGCCACUUAGGACUUCACCUUGAUAGCUAUGGAAAUUUAGUCUUCUUUACCUCAUCAAAGAAGCCGAACAUACAGUAUUUUGAUUUCAUCAAAGAAAAGUUAGGUCAUGUUUCACUCGUUGGCAAUGGUAAGGCGUUUAUCCGAAAGAAGUUGAACAAGAAUUUCAGUUACUUUGUGAGGAAGAGUUUUAUAUACUUUCGAGUAUGGGAGAAACACGCCUUUUGCUCGAUCAUACGAAGCUUUAAAAACGAGUUAUUAUUAUUAGUUUUAUACGAUGUCGCUUUUCAAAAUCAAAAUGUACUUCUUACGAACGGGGUCGAAAUACCUUAUACCCGUGUUGAGUCAAUGCUUGGAUAUUUGUUGUUUUUAUCGAAACCGGACAUAUCGGUAUAUGAGAAGAGAAGAACCCGUGUAAAUCUAAUACAAACUUUGGUGAAAUGUAAUAAUCCCGAAUACUCACAAUCCUUUCGAGGCCACCCUGGCUCACCAGUAUUUUACAUAUCGUCGUCACUCCCUAAUAGGCUUGUCCUCGGAUGUGACAUUUCUUCUUUUAUUUGCCUCCCUUCAAGUCGACUUUUUCAUGGGUGUAUCGAGCCGUUUCUUACUAUUCUUCACUCGAAUAUCGGUCAUCGUCGAGAUCUUACUAAUUUUGGGGUAGAUUCAGUUGGUAAUGUGUACAGUCUGAAGGGAAAGAUGGAAAACAAAUUUAGAUUUAACUCUGUUAACAUAUAUGCGAGAAUGUCUUAGACAUACACCAUAUACAGUGUAGUUGGGAAAAUGUCUGUUGAGAACCAGAAAAGCGACCACAUAUUAAUUUUUUUAUGCAUAUUACCAAGUGUUCAUAAAGACCACGAAGACAGUCACUUUUCUUGUCUUACAAAUACAUGUAAGCUUGCACCUCACCAACCUUCUUAUUCGAAUGAUGUCGUUAAAAUUACAUGUCUCGUAGACUUAUUCUUCUUUAGUCAUACCAGUGUCCCGAAAAUUUGUUAAAUACACCCGGAGCCGAUCUGGGAGGUCACAAGAACUUUUUAAAGAAAUAGAUUUUGUAAUUAGAUCAAAUCAAAUAGAUCAAAUCGCUAUAUUCCUAAGUGCUUAUAUCGUCUGUUACUUACUUCACAUUCUUCACACUUUACUUUCUUCACUCAGGAAAACGACUAUGACUGUUGACUACAUCACCCUCUAUUGAUACUGACAUCCUCGGUUGCUAUCCGCAAAAUGUAAAACCAGUCACAUGUCGCAUUUUGAGUAUUUUAUCGGAAAAGAAAGCCACGCCCCUCACAGUUACGUUACGUUUUCUGUUUUAAUGGAAAAGAGUAAAAUAUGUUGUCGUUUUUCUCCCAAUUUUACAAGAAGAAUAUCUGCACAUUUUGAUUGUUUUUGCAAUGGAUGGUCAAAGUGAUUUUUUUCUUCUCACAUGAAACGAGUUACCGAAGAGAAUCAUGUUCAGGCAAACUGGUAGGUUGUCUUUCAAGCCUCCCAUCUCCGUACGACCUGGUAGGGAUCGCUGGUGGUAUGAUCUGGCUUCUGGAUACAUCAUACUAGCAACCAAAGGGGGAAUUGCCAAGAAUAGCGUCAGAAUAUAUCAUCAGACAAACCGCGAAUUCUCCAUUCUACAAAUGUUUGAAUACGAUGCCUCGAUUGGUGAUCUAUUUCACUAUCAGGGAUUGUUCAGGAAACGCUUCCUAUCCUUAUGUGAACUGCCUGGCGUGAUAUUCCUUAAAGACGUUUUUGAUAAAGAGGAAACAUAUACCAUUGUCCCGCAAAAGUGCUAUCGAGCAAAGUUCUAUUACCGCCCAUCAUUCGGCAACGAUCUCGUUUUCAUCCAUUGCACGGAUUUGAGGGGUAAAAUUAAAGGGACUGUCUACAGUAUCACGUUAGAGGAUACAACUCAAAGAGCGGUUUUAUCAAAUGGUGUGCCCAUUAACAGUAAGAAUAGAUUUGGUGAAAUCACAGAAUUCUCUUCAGAAGGCGAUUUGAUAUGUAACUGUAGAAAAAUUUUUGGUUUCAUUAUUUACCGUAGAUGUGACGGAUACAGGAUUGAGCACUUAGAAGUUGACAAUGCAGGCUGGAUGCCGUAUUGGAGUCAUAAACACCAAACCAUUCUCAAAGGACAACGUAUGGGCCAAAAAGGUCACGGGAAACUUGUCUACGACGGGUGGAAGAUCAACUGCAAGCUGAAGAAUCGUUUAGUAUCGGAAAUACCACCAGUUUACCCGAUUAGUUUCUUCAUUCGCUGGAAGAGAAUGUCAACCAUUAGUGGUACAUCUAUACUUCUUUUGUCACCCGAAGGAACCCUUCUAGUAAUUUUGAUUGAAAAGCAAGUCCCAAUAUUUGUACUUCUAUAUUCCUCCGUGUAACCGUUCCACUCGUGGUAGAGGUUGGCCAGGACACGGUCACACGUCAUGGUUCCCAGCCCGACUGAAUGCUGGUGUAGACGUUAAAAAUGUCCCUCUGGAAAAAAUUGUUCGGCGCUAUUAUUCUGAUCGAUUAUGCUGUGCUGCCCCCAUGUUGUGUCCAUGUUCUGCCCAGGAAUGGUUGUAGGUCGUCUUUUAAUGGCGGGAUUUUUUUCUUUUUUGAAUAAAGGAGUAAAAGCCCUGACGCCUCACGGGCAGGAUUUCUACACAAAAUGCAGUUAACAAUAUUAUCACGUGCAUGGCAGGCGUUCGACGUCUGGCGUAAGAUAGAGUAUAUCUCUCCUCAAAUACUAGGGUCAGUAGAAUGCUCCUCCCCUCGCACACAUUGCAAAGGUAAGAUUGGGAGAUCAAGCUGUGAAUAAAAGGCCCUGAAGGAGCAUAUCCCGAGAUAAGAACGUCAACACCGGACCGUUUUCAACAUUUCACGUAUCGAGAUAACAUUCUUUUCGGUGAUCUCAAGGCAGUUGAAUCGGCCGUUUCUACUUGGCCGCGAUUCCGGCGUGAGUUACUAAAGAUGACAAGGUCCAGCGGCAUCACACCUGUUAAUUGCUUGGAAUGUAUUCAGAAGAGGCUUACAGAUAUAGUCAAUGGUGUAGUAAUUUGAUAUGAGCAAAUAGAGAAGGAACUACAGCCUUAACCUAAAUUUGAUUCUUCCAGCAUCGCUAAUCAAUUAAAGCAUGCCUUUAGAUUAUGACAAAAACUCGUGAUUAAUGUGGAUCCUUUGUUGGCUCUGACUGUUCGCAACUGGGUCUCACCUCUCACAACAGCUGGGGACCCACCAAAUGUCAGAUUUAAAGGAUUAUUUGACGGAUUUAUAGCAUCCAUGAGUUUUUCAUGUGACUAACUCAGUGUGGCUCAAUGAGUUCAGGGCCUUGUGGGUAGGAAAUAAUGCGUGAAUUGAUAGUUUUCGUGUGACUUUAUGCAUAGUUACCGCAGUUUGGGGCUUGGAUAGUGUUUGAUUCCGCGAUAUUUAUAUUUCUCAGUGUGAAUAGUUUCCAUGUACUGCGAUGUCGGAAAUACCCCUGCUGCGAUUUCUUGCAAUUCUAUUUGCCGGACUUCCAUUAAUCGUGCCUAUAUUCUCCUUUAAUGGGGUACGCUCUUCAUAUUUUAUCGUGGGUCAGGAAAAAAGAAAUACAGUUUACACAAUGCCGUAGUGCAGUUACAAUGCAUGCAACUUUGCUGUCUACUCAACGGCAAUGGUGAUAUUUAUAUCAAGAACGUAUUUACGCAAUUGGAAAUUUCAAUUACCAACUUCAAUUUUUUAACGAACGGCGUUGGCCAGCAGGACAUAGAAUCAAUCGUACAUUUUCAUCGUUUGUAUUGGACCCAGCGAUCAAAGAAUAGUGUAUCAUUCUAAAUUCCGACACAUUGUUGACUCGUUGCUAAGAUACCGAAAUCUCUCGGUUUCCCUUUUUCAAUGACCGCACGUAAUUUCAUCCUGUCAUAAUAUCUUUAACAAAUGUUAAAGGGGACGCUCAAUACGGAUAAUUAGAUUUUCCAUAAACGAUUCAAUUAAUUAGAUAUGAUUAGGUCCGGUUGUUUUUUUGUUAGAUUUCGAAUUUCAAUACCCACGGUGGAUAUAGGUAUUUCUUUACCUUUCAUGAAAGUUUCAAAAAGGAGAAAUGAGAGGAAAUGAAGUCACAAAAGAAACAGACAAAAGGCUAUAUUUUUGUAGCGAUACAUUGCAAUAUUGCAGUCUGCUUACGAUGUUAUUGUCGGUUGGUUGUAGGUUGGUUGGUCACAGGACUGAUAUUUUACCAAAACACCUCCUGUACACCUAGGCGUAUCAACCAUUAAAAAAUGGCAAUAUCUAAGCACCUCUGCCACACGCCAUGACUGCGAGAGUGGAGUUUGUUUAAAAUUUUCCAGAGCGACGUCUGGCUAGGCAAGGGUAGCGAUAUGCCCCUCAAACACAACAGAAUACGAGGGCCUGGUCGCUA